UACUUCCAAACAAGAGAUAUAAUUUGCAUUCACUUGUAAUAUUCAAAUGCGGUUCCAGCUUCAGGAAGUGAGUUUCUAGAAAGUAAUACAGGGAUGGUACUUAAUCAAUUGUAUAGUUAAUUGAUGUCAUACAUACUUCUGCUGAUAACUUGGAUGUUAUUUAUAACAUAAUGGUCAAUGACGAUAUUGGAGUACUGUCGGUACCAGAUUUUACCACACAGACAGCAAACAGUGCUAUUUUGUAAAAUUUAAAUGAUACAUAGAUAUAGGAAGAUGUGGUGUGAGUGCCAAUGAGACAACUCUCCAUCCAAAUAACAAUUUAUAAAAGACCAUUAUAGGUCAAUGUACGGCCUUCAUCACGGAGCCUUGGUUCAAACCGAACAACAAGCUAUAAAGGGCCCA
This 402-nucleotide long non-coding RNA is filed under the name Mytilus galloprovincialis (Mediterranean mussel). Lineage: Eukaryota; Metazoa; Mollusca; Bivalvia; Mytilida; Mytilidae. The record is from RNAcentral.